GGGAGGUGAUUUUUUUCUAUAUCCACUGUACAGCUGGUGGUAAAAAUUUGGGACUUCUUAAACAUGUCAUUCCUACCUCAUAUGGUAAAAAACAUGUUUUAGCUCUUUUGAUUAAUAUGGACCAUAAGGUAUUAUUAACAUAGUAUGUCAAAGCAGAAACUAUCCUACAUUUGGGGCUUUGUUUGGAAGAGAACAUUAACUGAACUUUAACUUUAAACUGGCUUUACUCAUUCAAGUUAAUACCAUUUAAAUAAUUCAGAAUAAAUCAGUGUCCUCUUCGAAAUUAAUGUUUAAAAAUGUCACUGCUUGUGUUUAAGAAUAUGACAUUCAUUAAAAUACAGCUUAAGCAGCACAGAAUUGAACACAAGAAAGCAGAGAAGUUAGACUUACUCUGUAUUUGGUGAAAACAAACUGCCAGUUUAAUAACCAUACAAUAAAACCUGUAAAUACCAAUGAAUUAUACUAAAAAAAAAAUGAUUGU
Sinocyclocheilus anshuiensis is the source of this 481-nucleotide long non-coding RNA. RefSeq lists it as uncharacterized. The transcript has 2 exons. NCBI's taxonomy places the organism in Eukaryota, Metazoa, Chordata, Actinopteri, Cypriniformes, Cyprinidae. The record is from RefSeq and is a predicted model, not a curated record.